GACGAACGCUGGCGGCGUGCCUAAUACAUGCAAGUAGAACGCUGAAGGAGGAGCUUGCUUCUCCGGAUGAGUUGCGAACGGGUGAGUAACGCGUAGGUAACCUGCCUGGUAGCGGGGGAUAACUAUUGGAAACGAUAGCUAAUACCGCAUAACAGUAGAUAUUGCAUGAUAUCUGCUUGAAAGGUGCAAUUGCAUCACUACCAGAUGGACCUGCGUUGUAUUAGCUAGUUGGUGAGGUAACGGCUCACCAAGGCGACGAUACAUAGCCGACCUGGGAGGGAGAUUGGCCAAAAUGGGAAUGAGACACGGCCCAGACUCCUACGGGAGGCAGCAGGAGGGAAUCAUCGGCCAAGGACGGAAGUCUGAACGAGGCAAGCCGCGGGAGUGAAGAAGGUUUUCGGAUCGUAAAGCUCUGUUGUAAGAGAAGAACGAGUGUGAGAGUGGAAAGUUCACACUGUGACGGUAUCUUACCAGAAAGGGACGGCUAACUACGUG
RNAcentral lists this ribosomal RNA (495 nucleotides) under uncultured bacterium. Its description in RNAcentral is "partial 16S ribosomal RNA". It matches the Rfam family "Bacterial small subunit ribosomal RNA", at positions 28 to 507 of the family's 1533-position model. The record is from RNAcentral.